This 468-nucleotide ribosomal RNA is filed under the name uncultured bacterium. Its description in RNAcentral is "partial 16S ribosomal RNA". It matches the Rfam family "Bacterial small subunit ribosomal RNA", at positions 28 to 507 of the family's 1533-position model. The record is from RNAcentral.
GACGAACGCUGGCGGCGUGCUUAACACAUGCAAGUCGAACGGAAAGGCCCUGCUUUUGUGGGGUGCUCGAGUGGCGAACGGGCGAGUAACACGUGAGUAACCUGCCCUUGACUUUGGGAUAACUUCAGGAAACUGGGGCUAAUACCGGAUAGGAGCUCCUGCUGCAUGGUGGGGGUUGGAAAGUUUCGGCGGUUGGGGAUGGACUCGCGGCUUAUCAGCUUGUUGGUGGGGUAGUGGCUUACCAAGGCUUUGACGGGUAGCCGGCCUGAGAGGGUGACCGGCCACAUUGGGACUGAGAUACGGCCCAGACUCCUACGGGAGGCAGCAGUGGGGAAUAUUGCACAAUGGGCGGAAGCCUGAUGCAGCAACGCCGCGUGCGGGAUGACGGCCUUCGGGUUGUAAACCGCUUUCGCCUGUGGCGAAGCGUGGGUGACGGUAAUGGGUAAAGAAGCACCGGCUAACUACGUG